UGCCGCGUGCAGGAUGAAGGCCUUCGGGUUGUAAACUGCUUUUGUACGGAACGAAAAGCUUCGGGUUAAUACCCUGGAGCCAUGACGGUACCGUAAGAAUAAGCACCGGCUAACUACGUGCCAGCAGCCGCGGUAAUACGUAGGGUGCAAGCGUUAAUCGGAAUUACUGGGCGUAAAGCGUGCGCAGGCGGUUUUGUAAGACAGAGGUGAAAUCCCCGGGCUCAACCUGGGAACUGCCUUUGUGACUGCAAGGCUAGAGUACGGCAGAGGGGGAUGGAAUUCCGCGUGUAGCAGUGAAAUGCGUAGAUAUGCGGAGGAACACCGAUGGCGAAGGCAAUCCCCUGGGCCUGUACUGACGCUCAUGCACGAAAGCGUGGGGAGCAAACAGGAUUAGAUACCCUGGUAGUCCACGCCCUAAACGAUGUCAACUGGUUGUUGGGUCUUAACUGACUCAGUAACGAAGCUAACGCGUGAAGUUGACCGCCUGGGGAGUACGGCCGC
This 501-nucleotide ribosomal RNA is filed under the name uncultured Comamonas sp. RNAcentral describes it as "bacterial SSU rRNA". It matches the Rfam family "Bacterial small subunit ribosomal RNA", at positions 395 to 889 of the family's 1533-position model. Lineage: Bacteria; Pseudomonadati; Pseudomonadota; Betaproteobacteria; Burkholderiales; Comamonadaceae. The record is from RNAcentral.